This 116-nucleotide ribosomal RNA is filed under the name Deltaproteobacteria bacterium CG_4_9_14_0_2_um_filter_42_21. RNAcentral also lists the same sequence under 1 other name. Lineage: Bacteria; Deltaproteobacteria. The record is from RNAcentral.
UCUGGUGGUUAUAGCGAGGGGGUCACACCCGAACCCAUUCCGAACUCGGAAGUUAAGUCCCUCAGCGCCGAUGGUACUGCAGUCUUGUUCUGUGGGAGAGUAGGACGCCGCCAGUU